This 133-nucleotide small RNA is filed under the name Helianthus annuus (common sunflower). Its description in RNAcentral is "sRNA HanXRQr2_Chr17g0825071". The stretch from base 1 to 45 matches the Rfam family "Histone 3' UTR stem-loop". Lineage: Eukaryota; Viridiplantae; Streptophyta; Magnoliopsida; Asterales; Asteraceae. The record is from RNAcentral.
CCAAAGGACUUCUUAAAGUCCAUAAAAAUUCCAUUAAAUAUAUAUAUAUAUCUAUACUACUUUAUCUAUACUACUUUAUAAAACAUAUCCAAAGGACUUCUUAAAGUCCAUAAAAAUUCCAUUAAAACACCAU